UGUGGGGUGACGGCGUGCCUAUCGAAAAAUGAGUCUGCGAGUCAGUGGCAUGUGGCGAGCAUAACCCGUGUGGGGUAUGCGUAGCGAAGGCGAGUCUUAAAAGGCGUUUGAGUCGCGUGUCCUGGACCCGAAGCGGGAUGAUCUAGCCCUGGGCAGGUUGAAGCGCGGGUAAGACCGCGUGGAGGACCGAACCCACCUGGGUUGAAAACCGGGGGGAUGACCUGGGGCUAGGGGUGAAAGGCCAAUCAAAUUCCGUGAUAGCUGGUUCUCUCCGAAAUGCAUUUAGGUGCAGCGUCGGUCGAUUGCGUCGCGGGGGUAGAGCUACCGGAUGCUUGCGGGCCCUUGUUGGGUACCAACAGCAGCCGAACUCCGAAUACCGUUGACGUGUAUUCCGGCAGUGAGUCGGCGGGGGAUAAGCUCCGUCGUCGAGAGGGAGACAGCCCAGACCGUCGUCUAAGGUCCCGAAGCGUGUGCUAAGUGGGAAAGGAUGUGGAGUCGCAUAGACAGCCAGGAGGUUGGCUCAGAAGCAGCCAUCCUUGAAAGAGUGCGUAACAGCUCACUGGUCUAGUGGUUCCGCGCCGACAAUGUAGCGGGGCUCAAGCACACCACCGAAGACGCGGCAGUAUUUUGUACUGGGUAGGAGAGCGUCCCAUGAGGGGCGAAGCGGCCGUGUGAACGCGCCGUGGACUUCAUGGGAGUGAGAAUGCAGACAUGAGUAGCGAGAGACGGGUGAAGAUCCCGUCCGCUGGAUGACCAAGGGUUCCAGGGCCACGUUCAUCGUCCCUGGGUGAGUCGGGUCCUAAGGCGAGGCCGACAGGCGUAGUCGAAUGGAUGAACGGGUGGAUAUUCCCGUACCGACCAUGGACCGGCAAAACCGAGACGGUGAGUACUAACCUCCGCCUCGUGGUGGUUCCUUCCUUCGGGUUGGUGUCGCCGCGUGGUGUUGGGAGCGUAGCCGCAGUAGGUCAGCGCAGGGGUGACACGGAAUGGGAGCCGGCCGCGGAGGUGGUUUUCCGUGGUCAAGCACGCAGCCAGUCAUGUAGGCAAAUCCGCAUGGCGUGCAUGGCGAGGUGUGAUGAUGGGAGCCGUUAUGGUUCGAUAUCCGGUUGUCCAGGCCGUCGAGAAAAGCCUCGGCGUGAGGGCCAUGGCCGCCCGUACCCCAAACCGACACUGGUGGUCAGGUAGAGAAUACCAAGGCGAUCGAGCGAAUCCUGGUCAAGGAACUCGGCAAAUCACUCCCGUUCCUUCGGUUUAAGGGAGACCCCCGAUGGUGAACACACUUGCUGUGGGAGCUUUUGGGGGUGGCACAGACCAGGGGGUAGCGACUGUUUACCAAAAACACAGGUGCAUGCGAAGGCGCAAGCCGCUGUAUAUGCACUGACGCCUGCCCGGUGCCGGAAGGUUAAGAGGAUCCGUCAGCCUUCGGGUGAAGCGGUGAAUUCAAGCCCCGGUAAACGGCGGUGGUAACUAUAACCAUCCUAAGGUAGCGAAAUUCCUUGUCGGGUAAGUUCCGACCUGCACGAAUGGCGUAA
Molecule: ribosomal RNA, 1532 nt
Filed under: human gut metagenome
Description: bacterial LSU rRNA
Rfam family: Bacterial large subunit ribosomal RNA
Source: RNAcentral